AUUCAUGUUAAAAGGAAAAAUUUAGACCAACUUGAUGAUGAUGUUGAAGAGGAAGAUGAUGAAAGGCAUUCAAGGAUGUUGCAAGGAAUCACUGGAAUGCCAAUUGAGGCUUUUGAGGGCAAGAAGANNNNNNNNNNNNCUGAGGCAUAUCCCGAGUCUGAAUAUAAUCCAAGUCGUGAUGUUUUAGAUGGUGAUGGCCACAUUACUAUUGAAGAUCUUUUAGGAAGUCUUCAGGGGAAAUCAUUUUUUAGCGAACUUCGGAAGAGAACACAUCAGAUGGAGAGGAAGUCUGCUCCUCUGCAAGGUCCACUUCCGAAGGGAGUUAGAGACAAGUUGGAGAGAAAGGCAGCUUAUGAGCACUCAAAGAAAGAUAUUACAAAGUGGG
This 385-nucleotide unclassified non-coding RNA is filed under the name Hevea brasiliensis (rubber tree). The record is from RNAcentral. Lineage: Eukaryota; Viridiplantae; Streptophyta; Magnoliopsida; Malpighiales; Euphorbiaceae.